UGGGGAAUCUUGGACAAUGGGCGCAAGCCUGAUCCAGCCAUGCCGCGUGAGUGAAGAAGGCCUUCGGGUUGUAAAGCUCUUUUGUCAGGGACGAUAAUGACGGUACCUGAAGAAUAAGCCCCGGCAAACUUCGUGCCAGCAGCCGCGGUAAUACGAAGGGGGCUAGCGUUGUUCGGAAUUACUGGGCGUAAAGCGCACGUAGGCGGAUUGUUAAGUCAGAGGUGAAAUCCCGGAGCUCAACUUCGGAACUGCCUUUGAUACUGGCAAUCUAGAGUCCGGAAGAGGUUAGUGGAAUUCCCAGUGUAGAGGUGAAAUUCGUAGAUAUUGGGAAGAACACCAGUGGCGAAGGCGGCUAACUGGUCCGGUACUGACGCUGAGGUGCGAAAGCGUGGGGAGCAAACAGGAUUAGAUACCCUAGUAGUCCCUGAGCGGGCUGGCAAGGCGCAU
Molecule: ribosomal RNA, 447 nt
Filed under: uncultured bacterium
Lineage: Bacteria
Description: bacterial SSU rRNA
Rfam family: Bacterial small subunit ribosomal RNA
Source: RNAcentral